RNAcentral lists this ribosomal RNA (253 nucleotides) under uncultured bacterium. Its description in RNAcentral is "partial 16S ribosomal RNA". It matches the Rfam family "Bacterial small subunit ribosomal RNA", at positions 524 to 776 of the family's 1533-position model. The record is from RNAcentral.
UACGAAGGGGGCUAGCGUUGCUCGGAAUCACUGGGCGUAAAGGGUGCGCAGGCGGCGUCGCAAGUCAGGCGUGAAAUCCCUCGGCUCAACCGGGGAACUGCGUCCGAUACUGGCGGGCUUGAAUUCGGGAGAGGGAUGUGGAAUUCCAGGUGUAGCGGUGAAAUGCGUAGAUAUCUGGAGGAACACCGGUGGCGAAGGCGGCAUCCUGGACCGACAUUGACGCUGAUGAGCGAAAGCUAGGGGAGCAAACGGG